AGUGAACGCUGGCGGUAGGCCUAACACAUGCAAGUCGAACGGCAGCACAGUAAGAGCUUGCUCUUACGGGUGGCGAGUGGCGGACGGGUGAGGAAUACAUCGGAAUCUACUUUUUCGUGGGGGAUAACGUAGGGAAACUUACGCUAAUACCGCAUACGACCUACGGGUGAAAGCAGGGGAUCUUCGGACCUUGCGCGAUUGAAUGAGCCGAUGUCGGAUUAGCUAGUUGGCGGGGUAAAGGCCCACCAAGGUGACGAUCCGUAGCUGGUCUGAGAGGAUGAUCAGCCACACUGGAACUGAGACACGGUCCAGACUCCUACGGGAGGCAGCAGUGGGGAAUAUUGGACAAUGGGCGCAAGCCUGAUCCAGCCAUACCGCGUGGGUGAAGAAGGCCUUCGGAUUGUAAAGCCCUUUUGUUGGGAAAGAAAAGCAGCAUGUUAAUACCCCGCUGUUCUGACGGUACCCAAAGAGUAAGCACCGGCUAACUUCGUG
RNAcentral lists this ribosomal RNA (492 nucleotides) under uncultured bacterium. RNAcentral's name for it is "partial 16S ribosomal RNA". It matches the Rfam family "Bacterial small subunit ribosomal RNA", at positions 29 to 507 of the family's 1533-position model. The record is from RNAcentral.